CAGCAGCCGCGGUAAUACGAAGGGUGCAAGCGUUAAUCGGAAUUACUGGGCGUAAAGCGUGCGUAGGCGGUUUGUUAAGUCUGUUGUGAAAUCCCCGGGCUCAACCUGGGAAUGGCAAUGGAUACUGGCAAGCUAGAGUGUGUCAGAGGAUGGUGGAAUUCCCGGUGUAGCGGUGAAAUGCGUAGAGAUCGGGAGGAACAUCAGUGGCGAAGGCGGCCAUCUGGGACAACACUGACGCUGAGGCACGAAAGCGUGUGGAGCAAACAGGAUUAGAUACCCCAGUAGUCCCUGUCUCUUAUAC
Molecule: ribosomal RNA, 301 nt
Filed under: uncultured bacterium
Lineage: Bacteria
Description: partial 16S ribosomal RNA
Rfam family: Bacterial small subunit ribosomal RNA
Source: RNAcentral